AAGCUACUCCCUCCAUUUGGAAUUACUUGUCGCACAAACGGAUGGAUCUAGACGUAUUUUAGUUCUAGAUACAUCCAUUUCCAAGACAAGUAAUUCCGAACGGAGGGAGUAGAAA
Molecule: non-coding RNA, 115 nt
Organism: Triticum aestivum (bread wheat)
Lineage: Eukaryota; Viridiplantae; Streptophyta; Magnoliopsida; Poales; Poaceae
Source: Rfam